Long non-coding RNA from Rhipicephalus sanguineus (brown dog tick), 317 nucleotides. RefSeq lists it as uncharacterized. NCBI's taxonomy places the organism in Eukaryota, Metazoa, Arthropoda, Arachnida, Ixodida, Ixodidae. The record is from RefSeq and is a predicted model, not a curated record. The transcript has 3 exons.
UUGCGAUCUGAAAGGAAGAUCUUGUGCAGUAACCAGCAUCGGUAUGUCUGCCAUGAAGCUUGCACUCGUCGCAAUGCUCGUCCUCACAGUGAUGGUGGAGCAUAUCUCAAGUGUGAUAACGCGUCCCCUUCACGAACUAUGUAUCGGUCAACUUUGCAGCGGGCGACGUGACCCAUGGUGCGGACCAUUUUGCGAGUGCAACCGUAAAGGCAGGGCAAGAUUAACAUGUGGCCCACGAAGUGUGGUUGGGUAAAUCAAAGAUACGCCGUGUGAAGGCAUGCCCCACCUGCACACGAACUAAACUUAAUAAAACUUAC